UACAGAGGGUGCGAGCGUUAAUCGGAAUCACUGGGCGUAAAGGGCGCGUAGGCGGCCUGAUAAGUAGGGGGUGAAAUCCUGCGGCUUAACCGCGGGGCUGCCUUCUAAACUGUCAGGCUCGAGCACAGUAGAGGCAGGUGGAAUUCCCGGUGUAGCGGUGGAAUGCGUAGAGAUCGGGAAGAACAUCAGUGGCGAAGGCGACUACCUGGCCUGUUCUUGACGCUGAGGCGCGAAAGCUAGGGGAGCAAACGGG
This 253-nucleotide ribosomal RNA is filed under the name uncultured bacterium. RNAcentral describes it as "partial 16S ribosomal RNA". It matches the Rfam family "Bacterial small subunit ribosomal RNA", at positions 524 to 776 of the family's 1533-position model. The record is from RNAcentral.